GCUGAAAAUAACCAUGAGAGUAAGUGCUACAUCAUGUGUGUGUAACAAUUUAAAAAUGGAAAUAAUUUCCAUUUAUUCUCAAUUCCUAGAACGCAGUCCGAAAAAAGGAAUAAGUAAAAAGUUUCUGAGGCCCUAAAAUAACACAAGUUCUCAGCAAGCUUACAGGUGCAUACUCAGCAUCUCACUGACUUUUAAAGAAGUCUGAUGCUACCCUUUUUCAGAGCACAGCGGAUUAGCAGAUAACUAGGAGGGGACAGAAGCUGCUACACUGAUAGCAGAGUUAGGUGAUAUCAAACAGUAGACUACGAUCCAGUUAAAAAAAGGUUACGUGACAUUCUUUCUUGUUGUGAAAGGAAAGCAAUACGUUUUCAAAAUACCAAUUAUCCUACUUAAAAUACUGGAGGCGCGGGUUUUACGCCUUGGAGAGCAGGGGUCCAAUCCCUCCCGAUGCGGAUAACAGGGGCAGAGCCAAGGAAUGACAGCAGGGGGCGCCAAGGCGUGUCUUAGUUUAAAAACUCAUCUCCCCUGUAUUUAAAAAAGAGGCACUUUUGGGGGUAGGCUCUUCAUAAAGGAGGUUAUCCUCAACUUGGAAGAAUUCACGAGGCCGCCUCCGCAAAAGCUAUUAUCCAUGGUUCCUACGAAUCUUACAACAACCAGGCAAAAUUCGAAAAAAGCCCAGAGCGGCGUUAUGGAGAAGUCGACGCCAAGGAAACGCAGUCCUCAGGACCGUCAUCAUAAUUGGUCCGGGCCCCAGGACAAACUGGAGAAAGCUAAUUUUGCUCACCAAAUCAAUCACAUGAGGCAUCUGCUUCUGGUUAGCCAGCCUCAGCCGCCCACACCAAGCACACCUGAAGCCUUAUUUCCACUCUAAAGCUUUCUUUUUCCUCUGCUUGCCAUUGAGUCUCUGCCAAAUGCAAAUGAUGGUGGUUGACUUUUUUUGUUUAAAUAAAUCUGGAUAAAUAGUACCUGUUCUCA
Molecule: long non-coding RNA, 975 nt
Organism: Pteropus alecto (black flying fox)
Lineage: Eukaryota; Metazoa; Chordata; Mammalia; Chiroptera; Pteropodidae
Exons: 2
Source: RefSeq, a predicted model, not a curated record